RNA transcript from Acinonyx jubatus (cheetah), 4213 nucleotides. It is a transcript of the gene named BCL2 related protein A1, with no coding region annotated. The record is from RefSeq and is a predicted model, not a curated record. NCBI's taxonomy places the organism in Eukaryota, Metazoa, Chordata, Mammalia, Carnivora, Felidae. The transcript has 4 exons.
UUACCGCCUGGCGGGCGCUUCCUGAAUUCGGCUCCGGUGGCUGCCCGCGCGCCGGCGGGGUUGGAGAGUGAGGGGGCCGGGGUCCGGCGGCGGCCCCCUCUGUCUGGGGGAGGUCCGUUCUGCCCCCGCCCGCGGCGCUGGGAAGUGUGUGCUCCACCUGCCAGUUGGGCCCGAGGGGCGCGGAGCCGGCCCCGCGUGCAACCGCGUGCCCUCAGCCCCGCGAGCGCAGGGUCCGAAGUCUGGGGGCGCCGGCGCGCUGAGGGGAGCGAGACUCGACGCGCUUGCCCACGAAGGCCCAAGCCCCACCCUGAUGGCCCUCCAGCUGUUUCCAGAAGGCUCUCCCUGAAACACAAAUUGAACAGAAACAAUCCUGCCGGGAUUUUAACUGGGAUUACAUAUGCCUAUAAGGGUUUGGGGGAGCAGGGAGAGGAAUGUGUAUCUUCAUAGAGUUUGGACGGCCCAUCGAGAGGGACUGCCCCCAGGAGCGUCCAGUUGUGGGAAACACUGGCAGGAGACGGGAGUGAGAAGGACCCUGAGGCCUGGUUACUUGUUCCUGAGAUCAGCCCUGCUGGGUCACGGAGGUGAGAGCGUCUAUGGAAGGCCUGUCAUCGUGGCCUCUUGCGUUCAGCUCUCCCCAUCUUGGUUCUGGUAACAGCCUUCCCCUCCUGCCCUUAUCAGCCCGGAGCACAGCCUGCCCUCGGCACCACGGGCGUGGGGCUUAUCGGUGGCACCUGGCGACCCCACCAAUGCCUGGGUAGCAGACACAUACAUGCUGGCCCUCGAUAAAUGUUUGUCAGACGAACGGGCCGGGCACUGAAUCACGGAGUGGUUGCAGUCACACGCGAGCCUUGUGACUUGUGGCCACACCGCCGGUGGUUAGAAGACUGUGCGGUUGGCGCUGGGCACAGCUGAUGGCUCCUCUGGGGGGACCAGGCCAGGGAUCUGGGGCAAGUUGUUGAAGCUGGCCGGGCUCGAUUCCUUCUCUUUCGAGUGGGGAUCGUACUGUCGUCUUCACUGAGUUGAUUAAAUGAGAAACAAUUCACGCAGCGCGUGGCACGAAGAUAAAUGCUCUGUAAACAGUAGUCAUACCUGUGAUCUAACCCAGGCAUGGCUAAAAUCACACGGCCUUGUGCAAUAGGUAAUGAGGGAGGACAAUUAACACACAAACGUAAUUGGCAAGUAAAGUUGUAAACACGUCCCACCCAGCGAGUAAGCAAACAAACACAGAGUCAAACAACAGUGAGACACCGUGUCUUGCCUCUAAAGUGAGCAAAUCGCUGUAGUGAUACUUAAAGCUGGAAAGGACACAGUCAGGGACACUCAGCCAUUCAGUGUGGGGCUCAAAAAUACCAGAAUGCAAUAGUUUCAAAUUAAAAAAAAAAAAUGUUUAUUUUUGAGACAGAGACGCAGAGUGUGAGCAGGGGAGGGGCAGAGAGAGAGGGAGACACAGAAUCCGAAGCAGGCUCCAGGCUCCGAGCCGUCAGCACAGAGCCCGACGCGGGGCUCGAACCCACAAACAGUGAGAUCAUGACCUGAGCCUAAGUCGGAUGCUUAACCGACUGAGCCACCCAGGCGCCCCGACCUUGUAUUUUAUAAUCUGAAAGGGAAUUUCCUAAAAACCAAAAAGUUGAACAAAGAAAAACCUAACAAAACUGUAUGGUAUGAUCACUGGUUGGUAAAAGUAAGCAAAACUUUGUGUAUGGAGAAAAAUCUGGGAAAAACGAGAAUUGAGUGGAAAUUGGAUGUUAAAUAUCUUUCUUCCUCUUCUGAAUUUUCCAUGUUUACAGUUAAGAAUGAGUAUUACUCUGGUGCUAAAAGGAAGCAUAAUCUUUUAAGUUUUCUUAAUAGCACAGUUAGAUGUGCUCACAGGUGGUCAUUUUCAAGGUGAAGACACUAACAGCCCAGCAGUGGAUUGGGUGCCACCAGGGGCCGGCCCCCAGCUGGGUCCCAGGGCUCCUUGCUUUGAAUAUUUGGAUUUAAACAUUUAAAUGCUUUGAGUACAGCAGAUUGCCCUUAGUAAUGCAGGUGGGCCCCAUCUAAUCAGUUGAAGGCCUAGGUAGAACAAAGACUGACCUCCUCCAGGCAGGAAGGAAUUCUUCAGCCAAUGGCCUUAGGACUUGAACUGCACCAUAGGCUCUUCCCCGGCUCUACAACCUGCCAGCCCACCUGCAAAUUUUGGAUUUACCAGCCUCCAGGAUCAUACAGGCCAAUUUCUUAAAAAAUACCUUUCUUGCACACACUCUCUCUCUCUACACAGAUACACCCUAUUGGCUCUCUUUCUCUGAAGAACGCUGACUAAUAUGAAGCCCAAAUAGAAAAUGUUUUAGGCUUUGCGGGUCGUGCAGUCUCCGUCCCUCCCCAUUCCUCUGCCACAGACAAUAUGUAAACACAUCUCAAUCUGGGCACUGGUGACAUUUUGGGCUGGAUACUCCUUGUUGUGGGGCCAUCCUGUGCACUGUAGGGUGUUUAGCAGCCUCCCUGGCCUCUAGCUUCCAGAUACCCAUGGCAGCUGUCGGUCAUGACAAUCCAGGAUGUCCCCUGGGGGGGGGGGGGGGCAGAGAGGAGACAUACCCUCACCCUCACUGAGCACCGUUGAAGUACAUGAGUGAGCCUGACUGCGUUCUAGUGGCCUGGGGACUGGAGUCUGCCGACCCCGCUCUGGGCAGUGUGGUCUUGGAGCUUUGCAGCAGGGGCCCCGUGGUUGGGAGUGUGGGGACACGGUAGGAGCCCUGUGAGGUCACACGGAGCCCGGCCACAUCCCAGGUCUGCCGCCCGUUCCUGAAGGUGCCGUUGCUCUGAUGAGGGCAGGUCUCAGAGCAGCCCAGUGCUCUUCUGUGCGUCCCAGCGAGGUCGGAGGGCUGGGGAAGACGGGGUGUUGGGUGCGUGGCCACGAUCCCCUGGGCCACCCUCGGCACCGUCUCCUCCUCAACGACCCCAGGGUCUCCCCUCGGGCGAGAACCGUAAUAACGGUUUCCAGGUAGCAGGAGGUUUACCAGCCCGCUUCAGGUGGGAGCAGUGUCUGGGGCUCAUUGGCGACUUUCUCUGGCCCGGUGUGCGGACGGAUGGACAAGGCAGGCACCUGUAGACCCCCGGGCGGAGGGCGGGGUCACCGAGGCUACACAGGACGGGGUCAUGAGCCGUGACCUGGCCUUGUGCUCCGCACGCUGGGCAUGGAUCACUCCCUCAAAGCUUGGCCCAGAAUGAGCCCCAUGGUCAUUUGUGUCCCAGCCGAGGACUUCCUGGUCACGCUCGGGGUUGACCUAGCCCCACUCCAGCUAUGUCUGACAGCAUACAGCCGCCCCUAGGGAAGCCCAGCCCUCCAGGAGCCCUUGGCAGGGCCUCAAAUGCAGGGGGUAAGCAGCGAAUGUGGUCGGGCGGCUGCCUGCAGCACCUGGGACAGCUCUGGAGCAGAGCACCUGUGGGCAGGCCCCGCGCCCGCGACCCUGUGCCACAGUCACUGGAGACUUCACGGGCCCACCGAGGCCCAGGCCCACGAGGGAGGAGAGGGCCUGGGUGGUCUGGCUUGGCCAGCGUUUGAGAACCCUGGGUUAAAGCCUCACCUCUGACCCUCCAGGCCCUACUGGCUCCGUAUUGCCACGUUAGCAAGACCCCGAGAUCUCUUUACGUGACCUGCACUUGGGGAAGUGCUAGCCUGGAUCGUAAACUCGCAGCGUGGAUGUGGGUGGGCCCCGAGAACAAGGCUCGGGCCCCGAGAAGCCUUAGCUGAGCAGCGCCGGCCACCAGGACCAGCUUGGGGCAGGGUCACCCUUCUGAACCGACAGGGAGAUGACAGAGUCCAGUCAGACAGAAUGAGCUCCCUGGCGGGGAGAGGCAGGAGGGGCCCAUUCCCUGGGUCCGGGGCCGCAAAGACAUCUUGGGAAACGUCAAAGGCCGGGACCGUUGUGGCAGACGUCAGGCACGGAUUCCGUUUGCCAGGACCCUCCCGGGCAUCUGUGCGCUUGGCCUAGCCUUCCUGGCCCAGGCCAGCAGCUGCCCGAACCCUGCGUCCUCUGCCUUUGCUCUGCCUUAGACCUAAGCUCAACCUUCAGAUCCGAUGACCCAAACCAGCUUCUCAGUUUUGCGAGUCCUGGUGUCUGGCCGCACUCACCGGCGGUGGCCCCAGGAAGCGACCCCCGAAGACCCCACCCCUGCCCAACCGCAGCCUGGCAUUGGGAGUCUGGGGGUGGAGAGUGUCUAUGAAAGCCCCUCGGCC